Molecule: small RNA, 1236 nt
Filed under: Pan troglodytes (chimpanzee)
Lineage: Eukaryota; Metazoa; Chordata; Mammalia; Primates; Hominidae
Description: processed transcript
Source: RNAcentral
UUUUCCGUGGGAGUAAGGAAGUGCUUUUGAAUGAGGUACUGAGGGCCAAGGUGUUGGAAGUUCCUAAUUCUUUCCUCGGUUAACUGUGAAACUCUGCGUAUUGGGAAGGCCUGGCCUCAGUCAUCAGGCCAGGAGAGGUAUUGGACGCCGCGCACGCGCUCGUCUGCCAGCGAGGCCCAAAGGGGAAGCCUAGCGGAGCUCAGUGUGGCAGCUGCUGGCCUCUGGGCCGGUUGUGCAUCUAAUCAUCCAAAAAAUUCAGCUCAAAACCUGACUAAAGAUAGUACUUUAAAACAUGAAGGCUUCUAUUCAGAGAACUUAACUGAAUCUAGAAAAUUCCUGAAAAGUAGGGAAAAACAGUCCAGCCUGACCGAAAUAAAAGGAUCUGUUUAUGAAACAACAUACAGUCCUCCUGAAUGUCCAUUCUGUGGAAAAAUAGAGGAGCACAGUGAAGAUAUGGAAACUCAUGUGAAAACAAAGCAUGCCAAUCUUUUAGACAUUCCAUUGGAAGACUGUGAUCAACCACUCUAUGAUUGUCCUAUGUGUGGGCUCAUAUGUACAAAUUACCAUAUUCUUCAGGAACAUGUUGACUUGCAUUUGGAAGAAAACAGCUUUCAGCAAGUGGCAUUGUUUAAAUAAUCAUUAUGGUGGCUUAGAAGUGGAAAAAUCCUAUAUGAAUGUUAGAAGCCCACUGAACGAAAAUAAAAAGUAGAUCCCAAGAGAAACCAAUUGUGUUUUACCCUAUUUCAGUUUUUUAAGGCAUGGAUAGAGUCCAGUGUUCUGGUGAUCUACAAUUGGCUCACCAGCUUCAGCAAGAAGAAGACAGAAAGAGGAGAUCUGAAGGAUCAAGACAAGAAAUAGAAGAAUUUCAGAAGCUGCAGAGACAAUAUGGUUUAGAUAAUUCUGGAGGAUACAAACAACAACAACUACGAAAUAUGGAGAUAGAAGUAAAUAGGGGAAGAAUGCCUCCAUCUGAAUUUCAUAGGAGAAAAGCUGAUAUGAUGGAAUCAUUAGCUCUUGGUUUUGACGAUGGAAAAACAAAAACUUCCGGAAUUAUUGAAGCACUUCAUAGGUAUUAUCAGAAUGCUGCCACAGAUGUGAGACGGGUGUGGCUUUCUUCAGUGGUGGAUCACUUUCAUUCAUCUUUAGGCGACAAAGGUUGGGGUUGUGGUUACAGAAAUUUCCAAAUGCUACUUUCAUCAUUAUUACAAAAUGAUGCUUAUGAUGAUUGCUUAAAAG